GACGAACGCUGGCGGCGUGCUUAACACAUGCAAGUCGAACGGAAAGGCCCUGCUUUUGUGGGGUGCUCGAGUGGCGAACGGGUGAGUAACACGUGAGUAACCUGCCCUUGACUUUGGGAUAACUUCAGGAAACUGGGGCUAAUACCGGAUAGGAGCUCCUGCUGCAUGGUGGGGGUUGGAAAGUUUCGGCGGUUGGGGAUGGACUCGCGGCUUAUCAGCUUGUUGGUGGGGUAGUGGCUUACCAAGACUUUGACGGGUAGCCGGCCUGAGAGGGUGACCGGCCACAUUGGGACUGAGAUACGGCCCAGACUCCUACGGGAGGCAGCAGUGGGGAAUAUUGCACAAUGGGCGGAAGCCUGAUGCAGCAACGCCGCGUGCGGGAUGACGGCCUUCGGGUUGUAAACCGCUUUCGCCUGUGACGAAGCGUGAGUGGCGGUAAUGGGUAAAGAAGCACCGGCUAACUACGUG
RNAcentral lists this ribosomal RNA (468 nucleotides) under uncultured bacterium. Its description in RNAcentral is "partial 16S ribosomal RNA". It matches the Rfam family "Bacterial small subunit ribosomal RNA", at positions 28 to 507 of the family's 1533-position model. The record is from RNAcentral.